GUACUUGCUUUGGUGGCACGUAUACUGAAAUUGGAAUGAUACGGAGAAGAUUAGUAUGGCCCCUGUGCAAGGAUGACACAAAUUCGUGAAGCGUUCCAUAAUAAA
Small nuclear RNA from Nomascus leucogenys (northern white-cheeked gibbon), 105 nucleotides. The record is from Ensembl. Lineage: Eukaryota; Metazoa; Chordata; Mammalia; Primates; Hylobatidae.